CUUGCUCCAGGGGUAAAGCAUGAAUAUAUAUAAAUUGAAAUUUCGCUGUUUCAAAAUCAGUGGUUUCGAGUUUAUCAUGUUGAAUAUUGCGUGUGGAGCUUAGGGUAUAUCGCCAGGAAAGCUUUUUGUGCUUUGGUAUUGUUUCUGCUUUUCAUUAUAUUUUAUAGCGAUUUAUCAUACAACACUUGACGGUUGUAAUUGGGAGGAGAGAAUGAUUGAAAAUACUGAACCAGCGACUCAUAAUGUGUACUCGGAUGGGUCAAUUCAGACUCACACCUCAAAUGGUGCUUUAGAACAUAAGCUGGAUGAGCUUCGACAUCUCAUAGGCAAAGCAGAAGGUGAUCCGU
Molecule: unclassified non-coding RNA, 347 nt
Filed under: Hevea brasiliensis (rubber tree)
Lineage: Eukaryota; Viridiplantae; Streptophyta; Magnoliopsida; Malpighiales; Euphorbiaceae
Source: RNAcentral